GUGAAUCAUCAAAUUUUUGAACGCAAAUUGCGCUUCCUGGCAUCCCGGGAUGUGUGCCUGGUUGAGGUUCAGUAUUAAUAAUAUUUCGGUUUAGUGACAAAUUGUGACGUUUCCGGAGUUUGGGCUAUCUUAACAUUUUUUGUUAAUUAGCUUAGAUUUGACCUUUUUCGCGCAUUUUUAAACGUACAUAACUUUUUUUUAGUCGUCUAUUCUUAAUGCCAAAAUCUUAUUAGAUGCGAUUACAUCGUGUGGCUUCGCGUCCAUCAAAUUUUCAUUAUUUG
RNAcentral lists this unclassified non-coding RNA (281 nucleotides) under Glomeromycetes sp. RNAcentral's name for it is "partial internal transcribed spacer 2". The stretch from base 1 to 71 matches the Rfam family "5.8S ribosomal RNA", at positions 84 to 154 of the family's 154-position model. Lineage: Eukaryota; Fungi; Glomeromycota; Glomeromycetes. The record is from RNAcentral.